RNAcentral lists this ribosomal RNA (934 nucleotides) under Saprolegnia glomerata. RNAcentral describes it as "partial large subunit ribosomal RNA". It matches the Rfam family "Eukaryotic large subunit ribosomal RNA", at positions 211 to 1025 of the family's 3401-position model. Lineage: Eukaryota; Oomycota; Saprolegniomycetes; Saprolegniales; Saprolegniaceae. The record is from RNAcentral.
GGUGAUACUCCCGUCUCUGCUCCAAUUUGCGGUGUGUACGAUACGCUUUCUUUGAGUCGAGUUGUUUGGGAAUACAGCUCAAAGUAGGUGGUAAAUUCCAUCUAAAGCUAAAUAUUGGUGCGAGACCGAUAGCGAACAAGUACCGUGAGGGAAAGAUGAAAAGAACUUUGAAAAGAGAGUUAAAGAGUACCUGAAACUGUUGAAAGGGAACCGUAUCGUUUCCAGUGUUUUAUCCUAUGCAUAUUUCAUUCGUGGAGCAAUUUGCGGGUGCCCUGUGCAUGGGUGUGACGUCAGGGUCAGUUUGUAUGCUGCGGGAGAUGGUCAGUGAGGAGGUGCGUCACUUCGGUGAAAGUUAUAUCUCGCUGUCUAGUAGCCGUGGUUGAGACUGAGGUGCCUACAACAUGCCUUAAAGUUCCGUGUUGUCUCGUGUUGGUGACUGCUUUGAUAGCUUGCUAUGUCUGUGGUUUAUCAAUGCGAUUGAUGAUGCGGAUAACUUUUGCUGUUCGGGACUCUGGCCAAAUGGAGCGAUACGACCCGUCUUGAAACACGGACCAAGGAGUCUAACAUGUGUGCAAGUAUUAGGGCGUGGAAACCCAAAUGCGUAAUGAAAGUAAAUGCUGCUUAUGCAGCUGUGGUAGGAAAGGGCUGUCAAGGUCCUGGCACUAUCGACCGAUCAUGAGCCCACGGGCAAAAGAUUUGAGUAUGAGCAUAUAUGUUGGUACCCGAAAGAUGGUGAACUAUGCCUGAAUAGGGUGAAGCCAGGGGAAACUCUGGUGGAAGCUCGUAGCGAUUCUGACGUGCAAAUCGAUCGUCAAAUUUGGGUAUAGGGGCGAAAGACUAAUCGAACCAUCUAGUAGCUGGUUCCCUCCGAAAUUUCCCUCAGGAUAGCAGCAACUUUUUCCGAUAGUUUUUUGAGGUAAAGCGCCCGAUUAGA